Long non-coding RNA from Gallus gallus (chicken), 3665 nucleotides. RefSeq lists it as uncharacterized. The transcript has 4 exons. NCBI's taxonomy places the organism in Eukaryota, Metazoa, Chordata, Aves, Galliformes, Phasianidae. The record is from RefSeq and is a predicted model, not a curated record.
CCCGCUGCCGGCGCCCUGCAGCCUCGGGCCGGUCCCGAAGCCGAGCCGUUCGGGAAGGCCGCGUCUCCGGCUAAGGCUGCCGGCAGGCCUUGCGGCUGCUGCGGGCGGCGGGCCCGGCGUGCUCCCGUGUGGCGCACCGCCUGUGCGGGGCCCGGGGCGCCUCGCUGUCUCUGGGGACGCGCGAGGCCUCUUAGUUAAGUCUUAGGAAAGCAAACUUCCUUUAAGCCGCCGUUCGCUAAUUCGGCGCUCGGUCGCUUCUCCGCGCCAUCCGGAGUGCCCGGGCGCCGCCCGGCCCGCACCUACCGCGUCCCACACCACGGCCGCCACGCCGCGCCGCUCCCAGUCCUGCCGGAUGCGGACGGUGCGCCCCGCGAAGCGGGUGAGAGCUUGGCCCAGCAAUGAAGUUGGAAGCAAUGUAACCCGGUUCCGCCUUUAAAUGCUGCAGAAGGCAAUAUGGACAUCUGAGCUGCAGAUAAACUUGCAAGACACUGCAUGUACCAAAUGGGUCAUGGAGACACGCACAACGUGGGGAAAAUGCAGCAUCCAUCUCACAGUCUGUGGUUGCCACGGCAAAGACAGUUACAGAAUAAAGCCUGAUCGAUCCGGACCAUCUCUGAAACCAACAGGAUGAAUUAAAAAUGAAAACCUAAGUUUCUGCAGAAGCUAACAGGUUAUCUGUAGGCAUUCUAACUUGCUGGUUCUGCAAGAAGUGUUACAUAAGAAAAUAAUGUAUGGCGUGAGCUACUGUGCUGCUUUCUUUAUACAAACACAGUUAUGUUAAGCAAUGGAAGUAAUGAGAAAAAUCCUGAAGAUGCAUAAUUUCAGAAGCGCAGGGGCUGCAUUGCAGGAAGUUUUGGUGCCUCUGAGGAAGGAAUAGUUCCCAUCAGCACUAUUACAUUCACUCCAUAAACCUCACAUCUUGAUCAACUGUCAGAUGUAAUCACCACGCUUAUUACAAUCUCUUGUUACAGAAAAAUCACGUCACUUUUGGUAGAGUUACUUGACUGAUCUCUCAAAGGCCACGCAGUCCCGAAAGCUGGCCUUAUUCUGAUAUUUUAAUUAACCAACAAAAAGCAAAAGGAGCCACCUCUUCUCCCCAUAAGCAACAAUGGCACUUCGGUUACUGGAAACCUCCGGCUCUUGCUAAUGCACUUUGCAGAUCGGACCUACAGGCUCACAUUGGUGUGCCAACAGCUGGGCACUGGGCCGUGCUGGCCCCCUGAUGGGGAGCAGGUGGUGCUGUGCUGCAGGGCUGCAGGGCUGCGGGAGGUGGGUUGCAGUGCAGGUUCUGGUGCCCUCCUGCAGCUCUGGUGUGCGGGGUGCCUGGCUGGGGGCUGCAGAGCGCCUGGCUCGGGUGUCUGCCUGUGGGACGCUGCUGUGCUGGGAACUGUGCUGCAAAAACACCCUUUGGUGGAGGUUGAAUGUAGAUCCAGAGGGUUAAUUAUAAGCGCUCGCAUUUCUGAUGUGUUCUGUAGGUGCAGAGUUGUGUAAUUGGAGGGAAAAUUACAGUGCAAGCCGUGCACUGUAUUAAUUUACAACUAGUUAACAACAACUAAGGGCAGUUUGAAAACAGUUGUAUAGGCGAGCAGACAGCAGCUCGAGCAUGCAGGUAGAUGCAUCAGGUUCCCCUUUUUAACCAAGUAGAAACCAGGAAAAAUGUUUUUUUGUUGGUUUAUUUAUUUAUUCAUUUAUUUGAGAUGGUAUUAGGAAGCUUUUCUCCACUCUUUAGAAACAAAUCCCUUCAGACAAAGGAGAAGAAGCACCAGGCACAUGUAGGCAAUUUCUGGUGCCUCAGACCUCGCAAGAGGGGCUCCUCAGGGCCUCCUUCCAGGCUUUGCAUGGCCCACGCUGGAAUUAAGCCUUUAUAAGUUUUCUUUCAACAAACCUACAGCGGGGCUUACUCAUGCAGUUUGCUGUUUCUGAAUGAAGUCACGCAUACCACGUUCAUGUUUGUGUUAAAAUACUGGAAAGCGUUUCCCUUUUCCUUAUAGGAAAACUGCAUACAUGACCUGCAGUACAGCUAUUUCCAACGCUCGGCUCCUCGGGAAGAGGAGCUGUGCCAACUCUGCCCAGCAGCACAGAGCACAGCCUCCUUGAUUUCAGCACAUCCGAGAUCCUCUCCUCAGGGAUCAGGUGUCCAUAACUCCACGGCUGCAGUUCAUUCUCUUGAGCCUCCGAUACCUGCAAAAGCUGCUUUUAUGUUUCCUUAGGACAAAAUGAAGGCGGGAUCCAAAAAAAAAGACUCCGAGGUCAAAAAAACACUCACUGCCAUAUGUUUGUGCUGUUGGCAUCACCGCAGUGAUCCAGGUGCUCGUGUGCUGAGAACCUCUGCACUGCCUGCGCUGACAUCCUGGAUUGCUGCAGAGACACAGGUACAGGUGGGAUCAGUGACACCAGUGCUGCAGUCUGUGUGCAGUGAGGCACAGCUCCCAGCCCUGCUGGCACUGCUCACCGCUCGCCAAUAGCACAGGAGGUGAUCUGAAAACUGAGAAUGUUUAGGGCUACUAAACCUCACCCUGUGACCCUGUGUGUUGUGAACGACCUCACUGGUUUCUUUUUACUCACGUCCUAGCGGAGGCAUGGGAUCUGUUUCCCUCAGUACUGUUUUGUUUCAGUUUUUUUCCCUUAAAUGGCCACAGCCUUGUUACUGCUGAGCCUCAGAAGACAAUCAUGCCUGCAGUGUUUUCAUCCUGUCAGCUGGUGCUGGAUUUCAAAACAGGAUGCCCACUUUUCCCCCCAUUAUUCACAGCAGUGAGAUGCAGAAUCCUGAGCUUUUGUUUUCAGUUGGUUACACGGGUCCAACCUGUGAUUCACUCUUCCUGCAGCCACGUUUCCAGGAAAAGACAAUGCCGUGGCUCCUCUCCAAGUCACCCGCAGGCUGCCGGAGGCUCAGGCAGGAGAGCGCUCCUGUGCCUGCAGCCGGGACACUUUCUAAGAAGGGCUGAAGGGACGAGGCCUCAGGCCAGGGCUGCCGUUAUCUCCCAGCAAACAACCAAGGAGGCACACGGCCUUGGGAAAGCACAUGAGGCACAGAGUCAAGGUGCAGAUAAGAGCAGAAUGUACAGGAUUUAAAAUUCUUGCCCCUGUGAAGCACAACAAGCAUCUGCAAAGAGCUGGUCUCUGCUCCUGGCACUGAGGCUGGCUGCCAAGCUGAUGGCUUAAGGACCUGCACUGUCCUUCCAGACAUUCAGGGAGACUCCUGGCUGCUCCAUGCCGUUGGUGUGGGCUAUAAUGCCUACAGAUAUUGGAGGUUCCCAAGAGUUGUUCAGACAGCAGCUGGUAGUGAUGGCUUCUGGCUCCGCAAUCAGGGAUAAAGCUUCUCAUGGCUCUGUAUGGUGGAGCCUGGGCUGGAGAGCUGUGUGGCUGUGCGCUCCAGCACUUGGCUUCUGCAGGAGUCAAACACAAAUGCGAGUGGAUCUGCUGGCACGGAACCGCUGUGGGGAAGGCCUGGGCUGGGCAGCGCUCGUCUGCAAACAGUGCCAGCAGGCAGCGACUCAUGUGUGUGGGGCAAACAGGCCAAGUGCAGAGCAGAACCACCCGGAGCAGAACUGGGUGGGCUCCAGUAAGCGGCCCUUUGGGCUCCCCGUGUGUGCAGCAAGAGGGAAUCCGGUGCUUUGUGUUUUCAGAAUAAACCACUGCUCCAUCCCCACGUUUGGGGAAUACGG